GUCAAAGGUGAUUCCCUCUCCAAGGGGCGACCUAGUGCCCCUCUCAGGAACGUAGCAACUUGCAAUAAAAUGUGGCAAGCCCAAGGUCAGCAAGAGAGAGGGGAUGUUUAUCAUUUUGCCUUCCUUUGGCAGCUGACAUAC
This 141-nucleotide small nucleolar RNA is filed under the name Dasypus novemcinctus (nine-banded armadillo). Its description in RNAcentral is "Small nucleolar RNA SNORA67 (ENSDNOG00000046578.1)". It matches the Rfam family "Small nucleolar RNA SNORA67". From Rfam's summary of the family: U67 belongs to the H/ACA class of snoRNAs which are thought to guide the sites of modification of uridines to pseudouridines. The record is from RNAcentral. Lineage: Eukaryota; Metazoa; Chordata; Mammalia; Cingulata; Dasypodidae.